GCCCAAACGUCGCCAUUAUACAAAAUACGAAAGAUGAGAGAGAGCUGAGACAGAAGAUACCAGACACAAUACUAUUCAGGGGUUGCCUGUGUCUGUACCCCGUUUCAUCUUCACUUCUGGGAACCAGGCUGAUGGAGAAGUCUUCUAGCAGAAGUACUAUGGGUCAUGAUGGCAGAAAGAAGAGCAAACUUGGUGGACCAUGUGCUGGCCCUUGAUGGGUCUACUCAGAUGGGUCACGUAUCUCUGCUCACAAGGUAGCUACCCUUGCAUUUCAUCAGGGCUCUGCUUGCAAGAAUCGCAAGGCAGAUCAAGCCUAGCGGCCUAAGAGAUCUACUUCCCCUGGGAAUGAAUCCUGCAUAAAGACCCAUGUAUGGAAAGCAAGAAUGCACACCACCAUGAGGGAAAACCAGCACAGUACCAGAAACGGAGUUCAAACAGAUGUCAAGCUGAUUGAAUAACUGAGGCUUGAUAGAGUUACAUCACUUGUCCAAAGAGAUAAUGCCAGUGAAUGGAAUAGCCAGAUCGAAUUCCAGAAUCCGUAAAGCUCCACUGCUUCUCUCUGAAUGUAAUAACCCAUCCACAAGCCCUAAGAUAUUAGACACAUCAGUGAUCACUCCAUCUGCUUUUGGCCCAUUGCUGUUGUCAGGAUUUAUGCAUUUAUGUCUGCAAUAAUUAUUUAUUGAGGACCUUCUCUCUUGCAAUUGCAUAUGGCCUUAUAACUGAAUUCUGACUUUAUGUCUCUCUUAGGAUAGACAGAUAAAAAUUUUUCAUAUGUGAUCUUCUUUCUGUCCCCUACCUCUCAGCUAUGAGCCUGAAACAGCAGAUUCAGUAGAACAGAGUUUCUCAGGAAUGGCAGAGCCACAAGUUGGGAGGAGCCCAGCUCUGUCCAACAACCUGGAACAUCCAUCAACCAGGAAAACUGUUGCACUUUAUGUGAUUAAGAAACAUUUUUUAAGGAAAAAAGCAGUAAAUUUUUGGGUUAUAUUUGUUGCAAUAGCUGUGUUACUUUCCUAAUGCACAAUCACAAAUGUAAAAUGCCACACACAGAGUGUGAGGAAAUAUAUUGCUAUUGGACUACUUGUAGUCUAUUUAAUUUUUUUAUAUAGCUAUAGCCAGAUCUGGGGUGAAAUGGUUUAGAAUAAUAAUUUCCAAUAGUAUACAUCAUACCUUUAAAAAGACUUUUAUGGAUGGAUAAAUAUCUAAUUAUGGAACUGCCCUGCAACGUAAGUGGUGAGAGAAACUCUUUAUAUAUGCUUUGUUUUUUUCUGAAUGCAUAGGUUCAGAAUUAUUAAACAAAUCCUCAUCUUUUGACAGCCAGUAAUCAAUUUCUCAUUUGCAGGGAAUCUAAUUGCAUUAGAGGGGACACUGGGGAAGUUAUGGACUACCUCAUCUUUCUACUAUAAAAAAUGAAACUACUUGUCUGUAUUGAAUUUGAUUUUAUAUGUUCAAUGAAAUAUAUCAUAUCCUUAUAAUAAAGUUAUAUAAGUUGCAAUGACUAUCUUUACAAGGUUUUCUUAUCAGAACAUUCCUUAAUUAUUUUAAAA
This 1544-nucleotide long non-coding RNA is filed under the name Homo sapiens (human). RNAcentral's name for it is "HSALNT0309261". Lineage: Eukaryota; Metazoa; Chordata; Mammalia; Primates; Hominidae. The record is from RNAcentral.